This 1311-nucleotide ribosomal RNA is filed under the name Lactiplantibacillus plantarum. RNAcentral describes it as "bacterial SSU rRNA". It matches the Rfam family "Bacterial small subunit ribosomal RNA", at positions 67 to 1350 of the family's 1533-position model. Lineage: Bacteria; Bacillati; Bacillota; Bacilli; Lactobacillales; Lactobacillaceae. The record is from RNAcentral.
CUGGUAUUGAUUGGUGCUUGCAUCAUGAUUUACAUUUGAGUGAGUGGCGAACUGGUGAGUAACACGUGGGAAACCUGCCCAGAAGCGGGGGAUAACACCUGGAAACAGAUGCUAAUACCGCAUAACAACUUGGACCGCAUGGUCCGAGUUUGAAAGAUGGCUUCGGCUAUCACUUUUGGAUGGUCCCGCGGCGUAUUAGCUAGAUGGUGGGGUAACGGCUCACCAUGGCAAUGAUACGUAGCCGACCUGAGAGGGUAAUCGGCCACAUUGGGACUGAGACACGGCCCAAACUCCUACGGGAGGCAGCAGUAGGGAAUCUUCCACAAUGGACGAAAGUCUGAUGGAGCAACGCCGCGUGAGUGAAGAAGGGUUUCGGCUCGUAAAACUCUGUUGUUAAAGAAGAACAUAUCUGAGAGUAACUGUUCAGGUAUUGACGGUAUUUAACCAGAAAGCCACGGCUAACUACGUGCCAGCAGCCGCGGUAAUACGUAGGUGGCAAGCGUUGUCCGGAUUUAUUGGGCGUAAAGCGAGCGCAGGCGGUUUUUUAAGUCUGAUGUGAAAGCCUUCGGCUCAACCGAAGAAGUGCAUCGGAAACUGGGAAACUUGAGUGCAGAAGAGGACAGUGGAACUCCAUGUGUAGCGGUGAAAUGCGUAGAUAUAUGGAAGAACACCAGUGGCGAAGGCGGCUGUCUGGUCUGUAACUGACGCUGAGGCUCGAAAGUAUGGGUAGCAAACAGGAUUAGAUACCCUGGUAGUCCAUACCGUAAACGAUGAAUGCUAAGUGUUGGAGGGUUUCCGCCCUUCAGUGCUGCAGCUAACGCAUUAAGCAUUCCGCCUGGGGAGUACGGCCGCAAGGCUGAAACUCAAAGGAAUUGACGGGGGCCCGCACAAGCGGUGGAGCAUGUGGUUUAAUUCGAAGCUACGCGAAGAACCUUACCAGGUCUUGACAUACUAUGCAAAUCUAAGAGAUUAGACGUUCCCUUCGGGGACAUGGAUACAGGUGGUGCAUGGUUGUCGUCAGCUCGUGUCGUGAGAUGUUGGGUUAAGUCCCGCAACGAGCGCAACCCUUAUUAUCAGUUGCCAGCAUUAAGUUGGGCACUCUGGUGAGACUGCCGGUGACAAACCGGAGGAAGGUGGGGAUGACGUCAAAUCAUCAUGCCCCUUAUGACCUGGGCUACACACGUGCUACAAUGGAUGGUACAACGAGUUGCGAACUCGCGAGAGUAAGCUAAUCUCUUAAAGCCAUUCUCAGUUCGGAUUGUAGGCUGCAACUCGCCUACAUGAAGUCGGAAUCGCUAGUAAUCGCGGAUC